AAAUCGAAGAGUUUGAUCAUGGCUCAGAUUGAACGCUGGCGGCAGGCCUAACACAUGCAAGUCGAACGGUAACAGGAAGAAGCUUGCUUCUUUGCUGACGAGUGGCGGACGGGUGAGUAAUGUCUGGGAAACUGCCUGAUGGAG
This 144-nucleotide ribosomal RNA is filed under the name Escherichia coli. RNAcentral describes it as "partial 16S ribosomal RNA". It matches the Rfam family "Bacterial small subunit ribosomal RNA", at positions 1 to 138 of the family's 1533-position model. The record is from RNAcentral. Lineage: Bacteria; Pseudomonadati; Pseudomonadota; Gammaproteobacteria; Enterobacterales; Enterobacteriaceae.